AUAAACCACUCUUUAAAAUCCAUAUCCUAUUGUUCUUUCCUUCCAAGGAUAUAGAGAAAGCUAGAUAAUUCACAAUUCCUCCAUACCUGGAAUCCCUCAGUUUGUGUCUUAUCAUAUCUGAUAUAUAUUCAACCAGUUCAGAAAGUUGAAAGGUAAUUAAGGCUAGUUGGCGAACCUUUUAUCUGAAAAUUGUUCCUGCCUGGCUCCCUGAAUGCCAUCUAAGAAGCGUGUCAAAGAAUGUUGGCAACCUUCCUACUUGGCAUGAGGGGAGUCACGCAGGCCCAAACAAUCAGAUAAUUUAUGUUUGCCUCUUCUGAAGUUUACCUCUGCCUCUGCCUCAACUCAUCAUACUGAAUCCUUCCAGUUCCUAAAGAACAAAGGCGAAAUGGGAUUUCUCUGUAUUGCUUAGCGCGUCGCUGUUUGCAACGCGUAGGUACUGGAGACACUGACAGAGAGCCCAACAGACCACAGACUGGAUGAGGUUACAGAUCUGCAUUGAGUACAGAGUCACCUCCAUACUAUGCAUCCUUGGUAGGACCCUUAGGUUCCUUUUGUAUUUUGUAUGUUAUAUUUUGUAAUAGACACUAGCUUUUGUUUUGUACAUUGUUAAGUCAUGUAAAUAUUUAUAAAUAUAGUGAGUUAAUGCAAGUACAAAUUUCUUUGCAAAUUUGAA
Hevea brasiliensis (rubber tree) is the source of this 673-nucleotide long non-coding RNA. RefSeq lists it as uncharacterized. NCBI's taxonomy places the organism in Eukaryota, Viridiplantae, Streptophyta, Magnoliopsida, Malpighiales, Euphorbiaceae. The transcript has 3 exons. The record is from RefSeq and is a predicted model, not a curated record.